UUAUUGGCAAAAUUCUCCGAAAGGGAAUGACGCAAAGCCAUGGAUCUACAGUCUCAUUUUAUCGGGACCAGGACAGCCAGGUUGCCUA
RNAcentral lists this non-coding RNA (88 nucleotides) under Paenibacillus ihuae. Its description in RNAcentral is "Cyclic di-GMP-I riboswitch". It matches the Rfam family "c-di-GMP-I riboswitch aptamer". Rfam says of the family: GEMM was predicted in a large-scale screen for bacterial structured RNA regulatory elements. Genes associated with GEMM are involved in a diverse array of functions, including chemotaxis regulation, signal transduction, secretion and chitin. Lineage: Bacteria; Bacillati; Bacillota; Bacilli; Caryophanales; Paenibacillaceae. The record is from RNAcentral.